Molecule: ribosomal RNA, 261 nt
Filed under: uncultured prokaryote
Description: partial 16S ribosomal RNA
Rfam family: Bacterial small subunit ribosomal RNA
Source: RNAcentral
UACGUAGGGUGCGAGCGUUGUCCGGAAUUACUGGGCGUAAAGGGCGCGCAGGCGGUUAUGUUAGUCUGCUGUGAAAAGCAUCGGCUUAACCGGUGUCUUGCGGCGGAUACUGCAUAGCUUGAGUACUGGAGAGGGAAGUGGAAUUCCCGGUGUAGCGGUGAAAUGCGUAGAUAUUGGGAAGAACACCGGUGGCGAAGGCGACUUGCUGGGCAGCAACUGACGCUGAGGCGCGAAAGCCAGGGGAGCGAACAGGAUUAGAUA